GGACUACCGGGGUUUCUAAUCCCGUUCGAUUCCCACGCUUUCGUGUUUCAGCGUCAGGUAUGCGCCAGUAUAUUGCCUUCGCUUUUGGUGUUCCCCAUGAUAUCAACGGAUUUCACCCCUACACCAUGAGUUCCAUAUACCUCUCGCAACCUCUAAGUCGUACCGUUUCUCCCGCGUUUUCUUGGUUAAGCCAAGAAGCUUUCACGAAAGACUAAUACGACCGCCUACACACCCUUUACGCCCAGUGAUUCCGGAUAAUGCUCGGGGCCUCUGUAUUACCGCGGCUGCUGGCAC
RNAcentral lists this ribosomal RNA (294 nucleotides) under uncultured bacterium. Its description in RNAcentral is "partial 16S ribosomal RNA". The record is from RNAcentral.